GACGAAGAACGUAGCGAAAUGCGAUAAGUAAUGUGAAUUGCAGAAUUCAGUGAAUCAUCGAAUCUUUGAACGCACAUUGCGCCCCCUGGUAUUCCGGGGGGCAUGCCUGUCCGAGCGUCAUUACAACCCUCAAGCUCAGCUUGGUAUUGGGCCCCGCCGACCCGGCGGGCCCUAAAGUCAGUGGCGGUGCCGUCCGGCUCCGAGCGUAGUAAUUCUUCUCGCUCUGGAGGUCCGGUCGUGUGCUCGCCAGCAACCCCCAAUUUUUUUCAGGUUGACCUCGGAUCAGGUAGGGAUACCCGCUGAACUUAAGCAUAUCAAUAAGCGGAGGA
This 329-nucleotide unclassified non-coding RNA is filed under the name soil metagenome. RNAcentral's name for it is "partial contains 5.8S ribosomal RNA, internal transcribed spacer 2, and large subunit ribosomal RNA". The stretch from base 1 to 120 matches the Rfam family "5.8S ribosomal RNA", at positions 35 to 154 of the family's 154-position model. The record is from RNAcentral.